GCGCAGGUGGCCAAAUCCGGUACAGUAAAAGAGGAGUUCUUUUCCUGCGGGAAAAGGCGUGCGGUUGCAGCCCGCAAGAUUAUGGGUUCGAAUCCCAUCCUGCGCU
RNAcentral lists this transfer RNA (106 nucleotides) under Candidatus Woesearchaeota archaeon. RNAcentral describes it as "tRNA-Cys". It matches the Rfam family "tRNA". From Rfam's summary of the family: Transfer RNA (tRNA) molecules are approximately 80 nucleotides in length. Their secondary structure includes four short double-helical elements and three loops (D, anti-codon, and T loops). Lineage: Archaea; Nanobdellati; Candidatus Woesearchaeota. The record is from RNAcentral.